GAUCUUGCUGUAAACAUUUGUAACGCUAUCUUCUUCACUUUAACUCUGUUUUCACCUGGCAACAAAAAGCAGCACCACUGCACCCUCAAAAACACCAUUACUACUAGCUCCAAACCACAGCACCAACCAAUCCCAAGCCUCAUCAGCACCAUAACCGCCCAAGCCCCAACAUCGUUACACAACCUCACCCCCUAAUCCGACCACCAACACCAACACCAACGAAAGUCUCACAGCCCACGACUAAAAUCCCAAAAAAUCUAUCACCAAAAAUCAACAACACCCCCGAAUUUUUUUGGUGGGUAGAUGUGGAGUGUUGACUGUAGAAAUUGAGCAUGCUGAUGUGGCGACAUUAGAGAAGUUAGAACAACAAGGGGUGAAUUGUCAACCCAAAGCCUCUACUAUCCGAAUUAUAUAGCCUGCGUCGAAUUUGGAUGCUUUUGUGCAGAAUUUAAUUUUGCUUUUGUGGACAAUUGCCUUCUUUUUUUUUCUUUUUUUUUUAUAGUAGUUUUUGGUUAAUCUUUUGAAUCUAUUCUUGUAGUUACUCUUCUUUGUUUGUAAGUUUUUUACCCCUUUUUGCUAACUAUGUGGACUUUUUGAUCUACUAAUUUGGUAAUCCAUAGAUAUUUUGUUGUGAGAAUUGUGGUAGUGAUAAAUUAAUCUAGGUUAAAUACAAUUAUCUUUAUUAAGAUAUUUCAUUUUUAUAUUUUCUUGUAAUGAAACAGACCGAUAGGUAGUUUGAUUUUUUUUUUUAUUCAAACAAUUAUCAACUCUGUUUUUGUGAUAAAAUUUGUAUUUUUGGACUAUAUUUUACCUUUUUCAGGAUAAAUUUCUCCAGAAAGUUCAUUUUUCACGUCAUGGCAUUCCACUUCCUGAUUUUAUGCAGGUUAGCCACAACUUUUAAGAAUUUGGCCCAAGGAUUUAGUUACCAAUUCACACUUUUCUUUGUCCUUGAAAAUGUUAGCUUUAGGAUAUCCUUUUUUUUUUUUUAUAUUUUUUUAUCUAGUAAUAUUAAAAAUACGGCAUAGACAGAUAUAUGAUUUUGAAAGUGCGAAGAGAGCUGGCGAACUAUUUGGCUAUCCUCUAAUGAUAAAGAGCAGGAGGCUUGCUUAUGAUGGGCAUGGAAACGCUGCUGCUAAGAGUGAAGAGGAGACCGCUUCUGCAGCAAAUGUCCUUGGAGGCUAUGAUCGUGCAUUAUAUGUUGAGAAAUGGGCUCCAUUUGUAAAGGUUUACUUCAACUAUGUGCCUUUAAUUUAUCAAACCAUCUGGACAUGCCUAUUCUGAGUUCUUGGACCGCAUAAAGAAUUGGUUUUAUGUGACAAUUGCAUUGACUAUGGCUAGAUUGCAAAGGAGACUCCAGAGAUAAAUGGUCUAUGUUGCAAGCAAUCUUCAGCUCAUUGGUCUCAAGAUCUAUCUAUAUGGAAGCUGGGCUACACCUGAGAGAGACAAGAGCGGGGAUUUGGGAGCAUACAAUGCGGAGUUAUCAGCACUAACUGUUACUAGGCCCUCUAUGUAUUGCUUGAAGGGAUGAAAUAACUUGAUAAAUUUUUUUUUUUUCAUGUGUAAUUAUAUUUUGGAUUGUAUGUUUGGAAGGAUUGUGUGUUUGUUUUUGCAAUCCAGUGUGUGUUUGGAAGGAUUGCAAUAAAAUGUUUGUAAUUAUCCAGUUAAUUUUAUAAACUAUUGAGCAUGA
Non-coding RNA from Camellia sinensis, 1687 nucleotides. The record is from RefSeq and is a predicted model, not a curated record. NCBI's taxonomy places the organism in Eukaryota, Viridiplantae, Streptophyta, Magnoliopsida, Ericales, Theaceae.